AUACAGCUGUUAUGGGACUUGGACAUUCUAAUUUCUGUAAACAUACCUACAUGUACAUGUAUGUGUCAAACACAGAAAUAUACUUGGUCUACACUGGAAAAGGAAAAAAGAACAUGUUGUCACCCAUACCUGAUAGGGGAGACGCUAUUAUGCAAACCCGUUAACCGAGAGGGUCAAGCUGAAUGAGGUUUUGCCUGUUGGAACUGGUAUAUGCAAAAGAUGUAUAGAAACACACUUUAAAAAAUCAGUAUGGAAGUAAAGCUGAAGGAAGAGCUUAAAGCAGAAAUGUGUUCCUAUUGACAAGGCAACAAUUGAAUCAAACCAAACAG
Saccostrea echinata is the source of this 329-nucleotide long non-coding RNA. RefSeq lists it as uncharacterized. NCBI's taxonomy places the organism in Eukaryota, Metazoa, Mollusca, Bivalvia, Ostreida, Ostreidae. The transcript has 3 exons. The record is from RefSeq and is a predicted model, not a curated record.